UACGAAGGGGGCUAGCGUUGUUCGGAUUUACUGGGCGUAAAGCGCACGUAGGCGGAUUGGUCAGUUAGGGGUGAAAUCCCAGAGCUCAACUCUGGAACUGCCUUUAAUACUGCCAGUCUAGAGUCCGGAAGAGGUGAGUGGAACUCCUAGUGUAGAGGUGGAAUUCGUAGAUAUUAGGAAGAACACCAGUGGCGAAGGCGGCUGACUGGACAUGUAUUGACGCUGAGGUGCGAAAGCGUGGGGAGCAAACAGG
This 253-nucleotide ribosomal RNA is filed under the name uncultured bacterium. RNAcentral describes it as "partial 16S ribosomal RNA". It matches the Rfam family "Bacterial small subunit ribosomal RNA", at positions 524 to 776 of the family's 1533-position model. The record is from RNAcentral.